Molecule: long non-coding RNA, 10453 nt
Filed under: Fragaria vesca (wild strawberry)
Lineage: Eukaryota; Viridiplantae; Streptophyta; Magnoliopsida; Rosales; Rosaceae
Description: long non-coding RNA (FVES_LNC000982)
Source: RNAcentral
GAAGCAAAGAGUCACAACUAGUUAUGCUGAAGAACCAGCUCACAGUUUGAUAGUGAUAUAGUAUUAGCAAGCAUGAUUCAGUCUCUUGUGUGUGGAGAUCAUUUGAAGUGUGUGGAUCUGAAAAGAAGAAUUCUUGGUUAUCUUUAAGAACCAAGUGAUCUGGUUAUGUUGUAGAACCAUAAGAGAAAUUUGAUAGUAUUGAAGUAUCAGUUACUGGAUCUCAGUUUCUCUUGUGUAAAGUUACAUGAAUCUAUUCUCUUGUAUAGAGUGAGUAGUUGUGUUGAAGAACCAAGUAACCUGGUUGUGUUGAAGAACCAAGGAAUACUGAUUGUGUUAAGAAUCAGUGAACAAGAACUAAGAGUGUUUAAGUCUUAGUGAUAUGACCCAUCCUGAAUUUCACCCUGAAACCCGGAGUAAGUCGUGCGGGGACCACCUCCAAGGAAAAUUUACUAAAAAGAUUGGUAAAACCUCCCUUGGAAAUGGACAACCCUAACCCGAAAAAUUCCCAAUUCACACUCUUACUACAGCACGUCCAAAAAUACCACACAAUUAUCCAGCUAAUAAAAGCAAACAUUAUCCUUCAGAAAUUCUAAACAUAAAGUCAACCGACCGAGCACACCAACGAAAAAAUAUACAAUAAUCCCAAAGUAUUCAGAGCUACUAAACACUAGCGGAAGCAAGAAAACACUAGUAGGUUAAACAGGUAACCUACUGAUGAAAACUGGCGGAAAAGCGGGUGACUAUGUCUCGUCUCCUAUUAGGUCCAACCCGAACUCUGCAGACUGGGCAUUUAAAAACGAAGACCCCAGGGGAAAACAUGUGGAACAGUUAGAGUGAGUGGACAAAAAUAAAUUAAUAAAAAAUAUUUCUUUAUGCUUCCCCAAUUUAAUUUUCAUAAAAAAAUAAUACUGCAUGCAAUCGCUCAAAAACGCUCAACUCAAAAACUGGCAAUUUCAUGACUAGCUCCGGCUAGUCUCCAUAACUCAAAGAAAUACAGCCUCUUAGGCUAAACUAUAUAUAAACAUAUAUAAGUGUAUAUAUUUACACUCGUCAGACUCCUUGUAUGAAUUCUAAGAACAAAUUAGAAAAAUAGAAAUUCAUACAAGGCUACUACGCUUGCGUCUAACGCUCACGUCACACCAUAAUGGAAUUGUACCUCAGUAUGGCGGAAAAAGCACGAGUGUAUAUACGUGUGGACUCCCUAUAUGAAAACCUAAAUAAACCAAAUAAGAAAAUAGUUUUCAUAUAGGGCUACUACGCUUGUGUCUAACACUCACAUCACACCAUAAUGGUAUUUUACCACAUUAUGGCGGAUCAAACACGUAUGGCUAGCUAGCAUUUAUAUAUACAUACUAUCCUGAUAAACAUCCCAUAAACAUAUCCACCGAAAAUCUCAUUUCCGGGAACUCUCCAAAGGAGGAAAAAUUGCCAAAUAUCCAAGAAAGAAAUAAAUCUCAGCAAGAGAAAUAAAUGAUCAACAAAAUAAUUCAUCGCAUGCUUUUCAUUUAAAACAAAGGUCCACUCACAAAUUAGGCCUAAACCUGAUGACGCUCCGAGGCUUCCUCUGCUCGGGCCUCCUCUCGUCCUGUUCCAAAUAUAUAAUUAAUUUCCCACUAAAAAUCCAAUAAGUAAACAAAAUGGGCAAAAUUAAACGUGAGCCUCCCACACACUCAUCAUUGCCCAAAUUCGCCAUUUUUAACUUAAUACGGCACAAACUUCGCCGAACAUACCAACAGCCGUAAAAACAACUUCCCACAGAAUACGACUUAAAUCCUACGGCCGGAUUCUACAUUAAUUAACCGCCAAAAAUACCAAACUUCGGAAAUUCACAAACCUAUCCAAAACUCAUCCAAAAAUUCCAUAACUCACUUCAAUAAACUCCCCUUAAUAUUCCAAAUUUAAAAACAUAAAAAUCUCUCAACCGGCAGCAGCGCCGGCCGGAGGCCGAUUCCGGCGACCUCCAAUGCCUAUGAAAUUUUGAUAGAAUAAUCUCCUCAUCAUGCUCUACAACUUUCCUAACUAGCACAAACCCAAAAUCCAAGCCUAGUUAUACCAAUCGAACAAAAACAUAAAAAACGCCCUAGAGCUUCCACCUCAAAUUUCUCCUUACCUGAAGCAAACCGGAGUCAGUCCUUUUAGGGCAAGGUAGCUGGGUUGGAGACCUACAAAACCGUACCAAGCUUGCUCGGAUUGGUGGCCGGAGGAGGGAGUUCCGGCGAAAAGCUUCCCGGUGUCUCCGGCGAGUUUUCUCCUCUUCCGGCAGGCUAACGGCUCGGGGGCUAGGCCAGGGAGGGAGAGGAGGUGAUGGGGGUCCGAACUAGGGUGGAGUGGUGGCUGGUGGCUGGCCGGACGGCGGCAGCUGGGGCUAGAGAAGAACCGGAAACGGGAGAAGUCGGGAAAGGGAAAAACCGGGGAAAAGAAAAGAGAAGAAGAAGAGAGAAAAAGAGAGGGCUGGGCUUUGACCACCCCUUGGCCCGAUCCACACUCUUAUACAACCCAAAUCUAAAACAAAACACCCCGAAAAAAUAAUACCCAAAUAAAAAUUACCUUUUACUAGCUAAAAAUUUACCAUUUUUACCGUCGACGAAUUUUCCUCCUACGAAUAAACCUCCGCACAUAAUCGUCCCCGAAACCCCUCUAGGGACCAAUUAAACUAUUAACUCAAUGACGGAGACGGUAAAAUUCUUAUUAUAACCAAGCUAGUAAAUAAGGUAAAAUAUAAGGGUAGGGAUGUGACAAUUCUCCCCUCCUUAUAAAAAUUUCAUCCUUGAAAUUUACAUACCUGUUAUUCAAAGAGAUAGGGAUACUGCUGCAUCAUUUGCUCCUCCGAUUCCCAAGUAGCUUCUUCUACUUGAUGACUUCUCCAAAACACCUUGACAAGUGGGAUUAUCUUGUUCCUGAGCACUUACUCCUUUCGAUCAAGAAUCUGAACCGGAUCCUCUUCAUAAGACAAAUCUUUCGUCAAACUAAUCGGCUGCUCUUGCAGCACAUGAGAAGGAUCGGCAAUAUACUUGCGGAGCAUGGAUACAUGAAACACAUUAUGUAUCUUGGAUAACUCUAGAGGCAAGGCUAAUCGAUAAGCAAGUGAGCCAACUCGCUCUAUUAUCUCAUAAGGGCCAAUAUACCUCGGACUAAGCUUCCCACGCUUACCGAAACGUACUACCCCUUUCCAAGGAGAUAGUUUCAAGAACACCCAAUCACCCACUUGAAACUCAAGGUCUCUCCUACGGACAUCUGCAUAACUUUUUGCCUACUUUGAGCAGUCUUGAGUCUAUCUCUAACCACUUUAAUCUUCUCAUUCGUAACAUGGAUUAACUCUGGGCCACAAAGCUCAUUUUCCCCCACUUCAUUCCAACACAAAGGCGUGCGACAUUGCCUCCCAUAAAGAGCCACAAAGGGAGCCAUACCAAUGCUAGAAUGAUAGCUAUUAUUAUAGGCAAAUUCCAUCAAAUAUAGGUUUUUAUCCCAACUUCCUCUAAACUGCAAAGCACAAGCCCUUAACAUAUCCUCCAAAGUCUGAAUAGUCCUCUCGGACUGCCCAUCAGUCUGAGGAUGAAAAGCAGUGCUGAAAAGUAAUUGGGUACCUAAAGCUGCUUGAAGAGCUCCCCAGAAUUUAGAAGCAAAUCGAGGAUCCCGAUCUGACACUAUUGAUUCAGGAACACCAUGAAGCUUCACAAUUUCAUUCACAUAAAGCUCCGCCAAUUUAUCCAAUUUGAACUUCUUUCCCACUGGCAAGAAAUAUGCAGACUUGGUGAGUCUAUCCACAAUCACCCAAAUACCGUCAUGCCCUUCACAGGUACGAGGUAAACUGAAAACAAAAUCCAUGGUGAUGUGGUCCCACUUCCACACUGGAAUAGGCAACGGCUCAAGCAAUCCAGAAGGCUUCUGCCUUUCAGCUUUUAUUUGCUGACAAAUCAGACAUCUACUAACAUAAGCUGCAAUUUCUCUCUUCAUGUUUGGCCACCAAUAAUAAUCCUUCAAAAUCCGAUACAUUUUUGUGCUAUCCGGAUGAGCAGCAUAAGCAAAACUAUGAGCUUCCUCCAUUAUCUCACUCUUCAACUCUUCAUUUCUUUUUGGAACACAAAGCCGAUUCUUAAACAAUAAAGUCCCAUCCCUUCUAACUGAGAAAUGAUCAGCUGCGGCUCCGCUCAAAGCUCUUUCUAUCAAUCGAUCUAUGGAAGGAUCAUUAUUCUGUGCUUCCCGCACUCUAUCAACCAAAACUGGCCUCACAUGAAAACUGGCUACCAAAGCACCAACCUCAUCUACUGCUAGAUCCACCCCUGUAGCUCGCAACUCACGAAGAAGCGGAACACAAACCAUCUUUAUAUGAGAUAAAGAUAUAGAGGGAUUUCGACUAAGAGCAUUAGCUACCACAUUAGCUUUUCCAGGAUGAUACUCAAUAGUGCAAUCAUAAUCAUUGAUUAACUCCAUCCACCUUCUCUGUCUCAUAUUUAGCUCUCUUUGAGUGAACACAUACCGAAGAUUCUUGUGAUCGGUAAAAAUCUGACACUUGGCCCCAUAAAGAUAGUGUCUCCACAACUUGAGGGCAAAAACUACCGCUGCAAGCUCCUGAUCAUGAGUAGGAUAAUUUCCCUCAUGCGGCUUCAAUUGCCUAGAAGCGUAGGCAAUAACUCGAUCAUGCUGCAUCAAAACUCCACCUAGACCACGUCUAGAAGCAUCACAAUAGACCACAUACUCUCCACUAUCAUCCGGAAGUGCUAAAACAGGAGCACUUGUCAAGCAAUUCUUCAAUUCUUGGAAACUUUGCUCACAUUGAUCUGACCAUUCAAACUUAACCCCCUUCCUGUUCAAUCCUGUAAGAGCAGCAAUUUUUGAAAAAUCUUUCACAAAGCGCCGAUAAUAACCUGCUAAUCCCAAGAAACUACGAAUCUCUGUCACAGUGGUGGGUCUUCUCCAAUUCGACACUGCUUCCACCUUUUGGGGAUCCACACUAACUCCUUCUGCCGAAACCACAUGACCCAAAAACCCCACCUUAUCUAGCCAAAACUCACACUUGCUAAACUUAGCAAAUAACUGCGAAUUUUCCAAAGUCCGCAAUAUUAUUCUUAGAUGCUUGGCAUGCUCCUUCUCACUUCUUGAGUAAACCAAGAUGUCAUCUAUGAAUACGAUCACGAAACGAUCAAGGUAUGGACUAAACACCCUAUUCAUCAGAUCCAUGAACGCCGCGGGUGCAUUAGUAAGUCCAAAUGGCAUCACCACAAACUCAUAAUGACCAUAUCGUGACCGAAAAGUAGUCUUGGCUAUGUCCCCCUCUCGGAUCCGCAACUGAUGAUAACCCGAUCUCAAAUCAAUCUUAGAGAAAACAGAGGCACCCCUCAACUGAUCAAAUAAAUCAUCGAUCCGAGGUAACGGAUAUUUAUUCUUCACUGUGACCUAAUUCAACUUCCUGUAAUCAAUGCAUAGUCUCAUGGUGCCAUCUUUCUUCUUAACAAAUAACACUGGAGCACCCCAUGGAGACAUGCUAGGCCGAAUAAAACCCUUAUCUACCAACUCCUGCAAUUGAGUCUUCAACUCUUUCAAUUCCGCUGGAGCCAUUCUGUAAGGUGCCUGAGAUAUAGGCAUAGUUCCGGGAAGUAAUUCUAUAGAGAAGUCUAUCUCCCUUGCAGGAGGCAAACUAGGCAAAUCUUCAGGAAAAACAUCCGAAAACUCCCUUACAACAGGAAUAUCUUCUAAUCCCACAACUCCCAUACUUGAAUCCACCACAUGAGCUAAAUAUGCCCGACAGCCUUUACUCAACAAUUUCCUUGCAGCAACAGCGGAAAUUAUGCAACUAGAAAUAACAUCUCUUUCCCCUUGGAAAGCAACCUCAAAACCAUCUAGACUUCGAAACACCACUACUUUUUGAAAACAAUCUACCAUAGCUCUAUAUGCUUCCAAAAAGUCCAUUCCCAAGAUCACAUCAAACUCCACUAUAUCUAAAGGAAUUAAAUCAGCCUCGAAAUUAACUCCUUCCACUAAAACUUCACAACCACUAAAUACCCAAUUUAUUCUCAUCACCUCACCGGAGGGUAGAGACACAUGCCAUUUGCCUGGAAGAGACGAUGAUAACACAUUGGCAUGGAGGGCAAAUCUACUAGACAUGAAUGAAUGCGUGGCUCCGGGAUCAAUUAAAGUAAAUGCAGGCUGACCAAAAAUUAAUAACGUACCAAUGAUGACAUCUGGAGAAGUACGACCCUCCUGCUGGGUCAUAGCAUGCAGUCUAGCGCGAGUCAUGGUACGUCCACUCUGACCACCACCUCUCUGAGAGCCACCUCUAACCGAAACACUGCCCUGGGCACCACUACUAGAGCCCGUAACUGAAGACUGACCAACUGGCUGAGUAGGGGUGGGGGUGGUCCUCUGAGCCAACAAUGGGCAAUCUCUCCUGAAGUGGUCUUGACCACCACACUCAAAGCACCCAGAAAACUGCUGCUGCCCAUAAGAAAAAGUCUGGCUACCAGAUGACCCACCAUGAAAGCUACCAGCAGGACCAUACUGCUCAGACUGCUGCCUACCCAAAUGACUCCGAGAAGGUCUCCUGAAACGUCCUCUAGUCCUGUUUCGAGCACCAGAGCUCGAUCCCCCACUACUACCACUACCAGCAGACGACCCAGAAGCGGAUGAUGAAGCAGCCUUCUUGGAUGGACCCUGACUAGGGCCACCAUAAUCACGGGGCCGAACACCAUAUGUCCCCCUGAACUCAAUGGCCAUGGUUGCACCAACUGCAUCCGCAAAGGUCGGGUAAAUUACCCCUGUCAUCUUGUCUGCAUACACCCCACCAAGUGCCCCAAUGAACAUCUCAAUCCUGGUCUUCUCAUCAGGAACCAGAUAUGACACAUGGUAGCUCAGUGAAGUGAACCUUUCCUGGAACUCUAAGAUACCCUCGUCAUCCCUCUUCGUCAUAUGCAGAAAAUCCGACUGAAUUCUGCUGCGGUGGGCAUGAUUGAAAUAUUGCCCCAAGAAGAGAGUCUUAAACUGCUCCCAUGACAUAUUCAGAGCAUCCUCAAUAUUCCUGCUGGCAAACGACCACCAGUGAUGUGCUGAAUCAUCCAGAAAAGUCACUGCCAUCUUCACCUUUCUUUCUUCUGGCAGCUCAGUGCUCGCAAAAGCAUUUUCCAUCUUGUCCACCCAAUUGUGAGCAACAAGAGGUCCCUUGGCACCCUUGAACUCUUUGGCUCCAGCACCAAAAACUUCUCUCCUUUUCACCGUAGGAAGGCGUGGAGCUCGAUCCAUGACAUCCCUCAGCAUAUUUCCAAUAUCAUCAACCAGUCCCCUGACCUCAUUGCCCUCAUUGGCAUUGGUCGAAGUGGCCACACGGGGUUGCCGUGCGCGCCUAGGAGGCAUAGUACCUGAGGAAGAAGAUAUUUAGUACUCUAUAAAUAAGACUAACACAACUAUCACACAUACCCAAUAACACAUAGCAUCAAAAGCAUAAAAUGCCAAUGAAUCCGCCGCGGUCGGAUCAUCACUCUAUAGACACUACGUGCUACUUAGGCAAAUAUGAUAGUGACAAGGAAGCAGGAAAAGGAAACCAAAAGCUCUGAUACCAACUGACACGACCCAUCCCGAAUUUCACCCUGAAACCCGGAGUAAGUCGUGCGGGGACCACCUCCAAGGAAAAUUUACCCAAAAGAUUGGUAAAACCUCCCUUGGAAAUGGACAACCCUAACCCGAAAAAUUCCCAAUUCACACUCUUACUACAGCACGUCCAAAAAUACCACACAAUUAUCCAGCUAAUAAAAGCAAACAUUAUCCUUCAGAAAUUCUAAACAUAAAGUCAAUCGACCGAGCAUAUCAACGAAAAAAUAUACAAUAAUCCCAAAGUAUUCAGAGCUACAAGACACUAGCGGAAGCAAGAAAACACUAGUAGGUUAAAAAGGUAACCUACUGAUGAAAACUGGCGGAAAAGCGGGUGACUAUGCCUCGUCUCCUACUAGGUCUAACCCGAAGAGCCCAGGGGAAAACAUGUGGAAUAGUUUGAGUGAGUGGACAAAAAUAAAUUAAUAAAAAAUAUUUCUUUAUGCUUCCCCAAUUUAAUUUCCAUAAAAAUAUAAUACUGCAUGCAAUCGCUCAAAAGCGCUCAACUCAAAAACUGGCAAUUUCAUGACUAGCUCCGGCUAGUCUCCAUAACUCAAAGAAAUACAGCCUCUCAGGCUAAACUAUAUAUAAACAUAUAUAAGUAUAUAUAUUUACACUCGUCAAACUCCUUGUAUGAAUUCUAAGAACAAAUUAGAAAAAUAGAAAUUCAUACAAGACUACUACGCUUACGUCUAACGCUCACGUCACACCAUAAUGGAAUUGUACCUCAGUAUGGCGGAAACAGCACGAGUGUAUAUACAUGUGGACUCCCUAUAUGAAAACCUAAAUAAACCAAAUAAGAAAAUAGUUUUCAUAUAAGGCUACUACGCUUGUGUCUAACACUCACGUCACACCAUAAUGGUAUUUUACCUCAUUAUGGCGGAUUAUACACGUAUGGCUAGCUAGCAUUUAUAUAUAUAUACUAUCCUCAUAAACAUCCUAUAAACAUAUCCACCGAAAAUCUCAUUUCCGGGAACUCUCCAAAGGAGGAAAAAUUGCCAAAUAUCCAAGAAAGAAAUAAAUCUCAGAAAGAGAAAUAAAUGAUCAACAAAAUAAUUCAUCGUAUGCUUUUCAUUUAAAACAAAGGUCCACUCACAAAUUAGGCCUAAGCCUGAUGACGCUCCGAGGAUUCCUCUGCUCGGGCCUCCUCUCGUCCUGUUCCAAAUAUAUAAUUAAUUUCCCACUAAAAAUCCAAUAAGUAAACAAAAUGGGCAAAAUUAAACGUGAGCCUCCCACACACUCAUCAUUGCCCAAAUUCACCAUUCUUAACUCAAUACAGCUCAAACUUCACCGAACAUACCGGCAGCCGUAAAAACAACUUCCCACAGAAUACGACUUAAAUCCUACGGCCGGAUUCUACAUUAAUUAACCGCCAAAAAUACCAAACUUCGGAAAUUCACAAACCUAUCCAAAACUCAUCCAAAAAUUCCAUAACUCACUUCAAUAAACUCCCCUUAAUAUUCCAAAUUUAAAAACAUAAAAAUCUCUCAACCGGCUGCAGCACCGGCCGGAGGCCGAUUCCGGCGACCUCCAAUGCCUAUGAAAUUUUGAUAGAAUAAUCUCCUUAUCAUGCUCUACAACUUUCCUAACUAGCACAAACCCAAAAUCCAAGCCUAGCUAUGCCAAUCGAACAAAAACAUCAAAAACGCCCUAGAGCUUCCACCUCAAAUUUCUCCUUACCUGAAGCAAACCAGAGUCAGUCCUUUUAGGGCAAGGUAGCUGGGUUGGAGACCUACAAAACCAUACCAAGCUUGCCCGGAUUGGUGGCCGGAGGAGGGAGUUCCGGCGAAAAGCUUCCCGGCGUCUCCGGCGAGUUUUCUCCUCUUCCGGCAGGCUAACGGCUCGGGGGCUAGGCCGGGGAGGGAGAGGAGGUGAUGGGGGUCCGAACUGGGGUGGAGUGGUGGCUGGUGGCUGGCUGGACGGCGGCAGCUGGGGCUGGAGAAGAACCGGAAACGGGAGAAGUCGGGAGAGGGAAAAACCGAGGAAAAGAAAAGAGAAGAAGAAGAGAGAAAAAGAGAGGGCUGGGCUUUGACCACCCUUUGGCCCGGUCCACACUCUUAUACAACCCAAAUCCAAAAUAAAACACCCCGAAAAAAUAAUACCCGAAUAAAAAUUACCUUUUACUAGCUAAAAUUUACCAUAUUUACCGUUGACGAAUUUUCCUCCUACGAAUAAACCUCCGCACAUAAGGGUCCCCGAAACCCCUAUAGGAACCAAUUAAACUAUUAACUUAAUGACGGAGACGGUAAAAUUCUUAUUAUAACCAAACUAGUAAAUAAGGUAAAAUAUAAGGGUCGGGAUGUAGCACUUAGUGUGGAACUAGUUGUGUUUAAGAACUAGUUGAACUGAGAGUGGUGUAGUCCCAGUACUCUAGAUUCAUUUUCUCUUUGUAGAGUUACAUGAAUUAGAGUCAUUUGUGUUGAGAUAGAGAAUUGUAACAAGAAGUAAGACUUGUAGUGUUAUAGUUGUGUGAGAACUAUACCUCUUGUAAACUCUGAUUUGAAGAUUGAAGUAAUAAUCUUGUUUGGUGCUUUUUCCCUCAUUGAGGUUUUGCACCAAGCCAUUUGAAAUACAUUGUGUUGAUUAUCUAUGCCUACUUAAUCCAUUUUAGUAAUCUUCAUUUGGUACCAGAGCAGGUCACUAAACAUACAUAAUGAGAUUCGUGGGAUAAGGGUGGAACAUAAAACAGCUACAAAUUUGAUCAAUUGUUCUCUUCUCUCUAAUGAUGUAUUGGUAAGUCAUCUAGAGAAUUUUGAGGUAAGAAACAAGCCCGAGAAAGAGGUAAAAGUAUUUUCUUCUUCUUUGGUCAAUCAAGAAGAUGAUAUUGACAUGAAUGAGUUUAAGCGUUUAGUCAAAAAUUUUAAGAUGCUUCUUA